This 550-nucleotide ribosomal RNA is filed under the name uncultured bacterium. RNAcentral describes it as "bacterial SSU rRNA". It matches the Rfam family "Bacterial small subunit ribosomal RNA", at positions 355 to 896 of the family's 1533-position model. The record is from RNAcentral.
UAGGGAAUCUUCGGCAAUGGGGGCAACCCUGACCGAGCAACGCCGCGUGAGUGAAGAAGGUUUUCGGAUCGUAAAGCUCUGUUGUAAGUCAAGAACGAGUGUGAGAGUGGAAAGUUCACACUGUGACGGUAGCUUACCAGAAAGGGACGGCUAACUACGUGCCAGCAGCCGCGGUAAUACGUAGGUCCCGAGCGUUGUCCGGAUUUAUUGGGCGUAAAGCGAGCGCAGGCGGUUUGAUAAGUCUGAAGUUAAAGGCUGUGGCUCAACCAUAGUUCGCUUUGGAAACUGUCAAACUUGAGUGCAGAAGGGGAGAGUGGAAUUCCAUGUGUAGCGGUGAAAUGCGUAGAUAUAUGGAGGAACACCGGUGGCGAAAGCGGCUCUCUGGUUUGUAACUGACGCUGAGGCUCGAAAGCGUGGGGAGCGAACAGGAUUAGAUACCCUGGUAGUCCACGCCGUAAACGAUGAGUGCUAGGUGUUGGAUCCUUUCCGGGAUUCAGUGCCGCAGCUAACGCAUUAAGCACUCCGCCUGGGGAGUACGACCGCAAGGUUG